RNAcentral lists this microRNA precursor (93 nucleotides) under Canis lupus familiaris (dog). RNAcentral's name for it is "mir-8799 microRNA precursor family". It matches the Rfam family "mir-8799 microRNA precursor family". The record is from Rfam by way of RNAcentral. Lineage: Eukaryota; Metazoa; Chordata; Mammalia; Carnivora; Canidae. RNAcentral also lists the same sequence under 1 other name.
CCGGGGAGUGCAGGAUCCUGGUCUGUGUCCCCCGGCGCCCUGGGCUCUGGGGCCUUCGCCACUGGAAUCGCUCUCGGGGCCGCACAGCCCCGU